This 253-nucleotide ribosomal RNA is filed under the name uncultured bacterium. Its description in RNAcentral is "partial 16S ribosomal RNA". It matches the Rfam family "Bacterial small subunit ribosomal RNA", at positions 524 to 776 of the family's 1533-position model. The record is from RNAcentral.
UACGUAGGGGGCAAGCGUUGUCCGGAUUUAUUGGGCGUAAAGAGCGUGUAGGCGGCCAUGUAGGUCCGUUGUGAAAACUCGAGGCUCAACCUCGAGACGCCGAUGGAAACCAUGUGGCUAGAGUCCGGAAGAGGAGAGUGGAAUUCCUGGUGUAGCGGUGAAAUGCGCAGAUAUCAGGAAGAACACCCGUGGCUAAGGCGGCUCUCCAGUACGGUACUGACGCUGAGACGCGAAAGCGUGGGGAGCGAACAGG